UACAGAGGGGGCUAGCGUUGUUCGGAAUUACUGGGCGUAAAGGGUUCGUAGGUGGCCUGCUAAGUCACACGUGGAAUCCCUCAGCUUAACUGGGGAACUGCGUGUGAUACUGGCGAGCUUGAGUGCAGGAGAGGAACGCGGAAUUCCAGGUGUAGCGGUGAAAUGCGUAGAUAUCUGGAGGAACACCGGUGGCGAAGGCGGCGUUCUGGACUGCAACUGACACUGAUGAACGAAAGCCAGGGGAGCAAACGGG
This 253-nucleotide ribosomal RNA is filed under the name uncultured bacterium. RNAcentral's name for it is "partial 16S ribosomal RNA". It matches the Rfam family "Bacterial small subunit ribosomal RNA", at positions 524 to 776 of the family's 1533-position model. The record is from RNAcentral.